AACGCACAUUGCGCCCAUUGGCAUUCCGAUGGGCAUGCCUGUUCGAGCGUCAUUAUCCCCCCUCAAACCUCGCGUUUGGUGUUGGGCCGCGUUGGCUCCCCCGGGACCAACUGGUCUCAAAGACAAUGACGGCGUCCGUGGGACCCUCGGUGCAACGAGCUUUUUCGAAGCACGCGUCGAGUCGAAAGGACCCUCCGGGCCGGUCGGACCUUUUUUUUUCAGGUUGACCUCGAAUCAGGUAGGAAUACCCGCUGAACUUAA
This 261-nucleotide unclassified non-coding RNA is filed under the name uncultured fungus. RNAcentral's name for it is "partial contains 5.8S ribosomal RNA, internal transcribed spacer 2, and large subunit ribosomal RNA". The record is from RNAcentral. Lineage: Eukaryota; Fungi.